UUGAACGCUGGCGGAAUGCUUUACACAUGCAAGUCGAACGGCAGCACGGACUUCGGUCUGGUGGCGAGUGGCGAACGGGUGAGUAAUAUAUCGGAACGUAUCCAAUAAUGGGGGAUAACUAAUCGAAAGGUUGGCUAAUACCGCAUACGCCCUACGGGGGAAAGCUAGGGACCUUCGGGCCUGGCGUUAAUGGAGCGGCCGAUAUCUGAUUAGCUAGUUGGUGGGGUAAAGGCCCACCAAGGCGACGAUCAGUAGCUGGUCUGAGAGGACGACCAGCCACACUGGAACUGAGACACGGUCCAGACUCCUACGGGAGGCAGCAGUGGGGAAUUUUGGACAAUGGGCGCAAGCCUGAUCCAGCCAUUCCGCGUGAGUGAAGAAGGCCUUCGGGUUGUAAAGCUCUUUCGCAAGGGAAGAAAACUUAGAUACUAAUAUUAUCUGAGGUUGACGGUACCUUGAUAAGAAGCACCGGCUAACUACGUGCCAGCAGCCGCGGUAAUACGUAGGGUGCGAGCGUUAAUCGGAAUUACUGGGCGUAAAGCGUGCGCAGGCGGUUUUGUAAGUCAGAUGUGAAAUCCCCGAGCUCAACUUGGGAACUGCGUUUGAAACUACAAGACUAGAAUAUGUCAGAGGGGGGUAGAAUUCCACGUGUAGCAGUGAAAUGCGUAGAGAUGUGGAGGAAUACCAAUGGCGAAGGCAGCCCCCUGGGAUAAUAUUGACGCUCAUGCACGAAAGCGUGGGGAGCAAACAGGAUUAGAUACCCUGGUAGUCCACGCCCUAAACGAUGUCUACUAGUUGUUGGUGGAGUAAA
RNAcentral lists this ribosomal RNA (811 nucleotides) under uncultured bacterium. RNAcentral's name for it is "bacterial SSU rRNA". It matches the Rfam family "Bacterial small subunit ribosomal RNA", at positions 29 to 835 of the family's 1533-position model. The record is from RNAcentral.